CGUCUAUAUACGUAUAGCAUAUCAAUAAGCGGAGGAAAAGAAACUAACAAGGAUUCCCUUAGUAACGGCGAGUGAAGCGGGAAGAGCUCAAAUUUGAAAUCUUCAAGGUUCUACCUUGACGAAUUGUAGUUUAAAGAAGUGUUUUCUGUUGAAGUUUCGGUAAAAGUUCUUUGGAAUAGGACAUCAUAGAGGGUGAGAAUCCCGUAUUUGACCGUUAUUUUCCAGCUGUGUGAUACACUUUCAAAGAGUCGGAUUGUUUGGGAAUGCAGUCCAAAAUGGGUGGUAAAUUUCAUCUAAAGCUAAAUAUUGGCGAGAGACCGAUAGCGAACAAGUACCGUGAGGGAAAGAUGAAAAGAACUUUGAAAAGAGAGUUAAACAGUACGUGAAAUUGUCAAAAGGGAAGCGUUUGACACCAGUGUUGUUUUCUCGAAAAUCAAUUAAAAAAGGCUGGAUUUUGUGUUGUAUUGACUUUAUCAGCUUUCUGCACUCUUUUCUUGUCUUUUUUAAUGCACUUUUCGUUUAACAAGUCAACAUCAAUUUCUUUUGUUGUAAAAGGGUCAUUGGAAGGUGGCUUUCUUUUCGGAGAAAGUGUUUAUAGCCUUUGGCCUCUGCAAUCGGAGAGAUUGAGGUCUGCAGCGUAGAUCCUUCGGGGUUAGAUACAUUAGAUGCUAAGUUAUAGCUUUUAUAGACAACUUGUUGACUAUGAUUAAGUCAUGUAGCUUACUCGUUUACGCUAUUUUACCUACGCUUAGGAUGUUGACUGAUAUGUAGUCGUA
Molecule: ribosomal RNA, 776 nt
Filed under: uncultured Neocallimastigales
Lineage: Eukaryota; Fungi; Neocallimastigomycota; Neocallimastigomycetes; Neocallimastigales
Description: partial large subunit ribosomal RNA
Rfam family: Eukaryotic large subunit ribosomal RNA
Source: RNAcentral